AGAGUAAGCCAACCUUGUCUGGACUGCAUUAUCUUCAGAUAUCUUCCAGCUUCAGCUGUUCUGAGUCCAUAAGAAAUCUGAGAUGUGUUCAGAGAAGAAGAAAACAGUAAACAAAAGCUUAGAAAGUCACAUUUACUCAAACCUGAGUGUGAAGAUUUAAGUUAAAAUAGAUGCCAGUGGACUGAACGUGAUGGUGUAAGAAAGAAGUGGAGGGAUUUGAGAAUCACUGCAUGCAACUUCACAUUCCGUCUGAAAACCCAGGCUUCAGUUUGAUUGAAGUUUCCUGGGUGAAGUCUACAGAUAGCGUUUGGGAUGAGGGAAAGGAAGAACCCUUCUGUAGUAUAGAUGUGGUAGCCUGGGACCAAAGGAAAGUGAUACAUCUAUAGGAUGGCUCAUUCUUCAGAGGUAGGAUAUUUGGAAAAGCUAAUCCAGUAUACUGAAAACGUGCUAUAAAUUCCUUUCACGUCAGUAAGGAAAAAUAUCUCUUCUAGUUAUGAAAAGUAAGGGCAGUACUUGAAAGCAAUACCUGUGUUGAAUUGUAAUA
Molecule: non-coding RNA, 544 nt
Organism: Coturnix japonica (Japanese quail)
Lineage: Eukaryota; Metazoa; Chordata; Aves; Galliformes; Phasianidae
Source: RefSeq, a predicted model, not a curated record